UACGUAGGUGGCAAGCGUUGUUCGGAAUUAUUGGGCGUAAAGGGCGCGUAGGCGGCUCGUUAAGUCGGCUGUGAAAGCCCGGGGCUCAACCCCGGAGGGUCAGCCGAUACUGGCGAGCUAGAGUACGGAAGAGGUAGCUGGAAUUCCCGGUGUAGCGGUGAAAUGCGUAGAGAUGUGGAGGAACACCAGUGGCGAAGGCGACUCUUUGGCCUGUAACUGACGCUGAGGCGCGAAAGCGUGGGGAGCAAACAGG
Molecule: ribosomal RNA, 253 nt
Filed under: uncultured bacterium
Lineage: Bacteria
Description: partial 16S ribosomal RNA
Rfam family: Bacterial small subunit ribosomal RNA
Source: RNAcentral